AAAAGGAAGGCAGUCUCCAUUGCAAACGGCAGCAGUUCCUCAGGGCCAGUGGCCUCACUCACCCAAGCACACUUCAAUAGAGGAGGGAUCUAGAGGGGGGCCUUUGGGUGCCCGCAUCACACUGGCGCUGCCUGGGUAUUGUGACAGCAUCAUUAAGGACUGUCAGUGUAGAUGAGGGUGUCCCUAAGGUGAGCAGCUCCCAGAGGUAUCUCUCCUAGAGUGACCCUAAAACAAAAGUGUCUGCUGGAGAAGAUCAGGACCAGAUCAGGACCUCACAAUGCACUGUGUGCUGUGUACUCUGGGGAGCUGUGCCCUGGGGCCCCCAGGGACAAGGACAGCCAUAGAAGCCUUGAGCUGCCCUCCUACUCAAUGACAGGAGCACCCCACAGGACAGAGACAGACAAGGGUGAGGAAGAGGGGAGCCAGGGUGGUGUCGCAAAGAGAUCUGGGCAGUUAAGCAGUGGUGCAUGGAGAGGCCUGGGCAACCAUCACAGUUCUGAGCUGACAACUAGGGAGAGAGACAUUAUGUCAUUUUGCCACCACCGUGCUUACAUGGCUGACGCUGGGGCUGCCUGGCCUCGUUGAGGACAUCUCUUCGCAUCAGAUGACAAGCAGAGGUCACAUGUUUAACGUCUUGCUCAACUUUGUCAACUGCCAUUGCUCUUUCUGGGGCUGGAAUGAAAAUGCAGUGCCUACUGGAGGAAAGAAAGCCCACUUCUACACAAGAGGACUGUGUCAUUUGUUGUGCCCCACAUUGUCAGCAGGGACUAUCUGGCCCCACAGGCCACCAUCAGGACCCAGCAGUAAGUCUUCUCCCAAGGACAGAAGCAGGAGCCGAGGUCACAAGGUACCAAUGACGUUGUGCCAAGAGGCAGAAAUUUGCAUAAUGAGAAUAAGAAAAAACAAAUCGCAUAGAAGACCAGCCUUCAGACCCAAGAGUGAAUCUGUCUCUGUCCCUGGGGAGGGAUGUAUGGCUCUAAGCUCUCAUGCAGAACAGUAGCUGGGACCACUGUCCCCUCCUAUGACUUCAUUUCUGGACUGUGGCUGAAGCCCAUGUGGGCUCUCCAAGCCACUGUUCUGGGGACUGGUGGGAUCCCUGAACUUAGAGGGGCUCGUGUUUGUUAAGCAUAUUUUGAAACUCUGCCUGUGUGAUGUCCCAUUUGGAUCAAAACUGCUCGCUGUCCUGGGUUGUUCUUUGUCAGAAUCAUGGGAGAUGCCCUGUCAGUCAGUGGGUGCUGAAGUGAUUUCAC
This is a long non-coding RNA of Mesocricetus auratus (golden hamster), 1250 nucleotides long. RefSeq lists it as uncharacterized. Lineage: Eukaryota; Metazoa; Chordata; Mammalia; Rodentia; Cricetidae. The transcript is spliced from 4 exons. The record is from RefSeq and is a predicted model, not a curated record.